This 465-nucleotide ribosomal RNA is filed under the name uncultured bacterium. RNAcentral's name for it is "bacterial SSU rRNA". It matches the Rfam family "Bacterial small subunit ribosomal RNA", at positions 338 to 795 of the family's 1533-position model. The record is from RNAcentral.
CCUACGGGUUGCAGCAGUGGGGAAUAUUGCACAAUGGGCGCAAGCCUGAUGCAGCCAUGCCGCGUGUAUGAAGAAGGCCUUCGGGUUGUAAAGUACUUUCAGCGGGGAGGAAGGUGUUGUGGUUAAUAACCACAGCAAUUGACGUUACCCGCAGAAGAAGCACCGGCUAACUCCGUGCCAGCAGCCGCGGUAAUACGGAGGGUGCAAGCGUUAAUCGGAAUUACUGGGCGUAAAGCGCACGCAGGCGGUCUGUCAAGUCGGAUGUGAAAUCCCCGGGCUCAACCUGGGAACUGCAUUCGAAACUGGCAGGCUAGAGUCUUGUAGAGGGGGGUAGAAUUCCAGGUGUAGCGGUGAAAUGCGUAGAGAUCUGGAGGAAUACCGGUGGCGAAGGCGGCUACCUGGCCAGAUACUGACACUGAAGCACGAAAGCGUGGGGAGCAAACAGGAUUAGAUACCCGUGUAGUC